UUUCCGGGGCUUAGUGCCGGAGCUAACGCAAUAAGCACUCCGCCUGGGGAGUACGACCGCAAGGUUGAAACUCAAAGGAAUUGACGGGGGCCCGCACAAGCGGUGGAGCAUGUGGUUUAAUUUGAAGCAACGCGAAGAACCUUACCAGGUCUUGACAUCCCGAUGCUAUUCUUAGAGAUAGGAAGUUACUUCGGUACAUCGGAGACAGGUGGUGCAUGGUUGUCGUCAGCUCGUGUCGUGAGAUGUUGGGUUAAGUCCCGCAACGAGCGCAACCCUUAUUGUUAGUUGCCAUCAUUAAGUUGGGCACUCUAGCGAGACUGCCGGUAAUAAACCGGAGGAAGGUGGGGAUGACGUCAAAUCAUCAUGCCCCUUAUGACCUGGGCUACACACGUGCUACAAUGGUCGGUACAACGAGUUGCGAGCCGGUGACGGCAAGCUAAUCUCUGAAAGCCGAUCUCAGUUCGGAUUGGAGGCUGCAACUCGCCUCCAUGAAG
This 494-nucleotide ribosomal RNA is filed under the name Streptococcus mutans. RNAcentral's name for it is "bacterial SSU rRNA". It matches the Rfam family "Bacterial small subunit ribosomal RNA", at positions 830 to 1325 of the family's 1533-position model. Lineage: Bacteria; Bacillati; Bacillota; Bacilli; Lactobacillales; Streptococcaceae. The record is from RNAcentral.